AGAGUUUGAUCAUGGCUCAGGGUUAACGCUAGCGGUGUGCCUAACACAUGCAAGUCGAGCGGGAUUGAGAGAAAGCUUGCUUUUGAUCAUGAUAGCGGCAAACGGGUGAGUAAUAUGUUGGUAUCUGCCCUUAAGUCGGGAAUAGCCCAUCGAAAGAUGGAUUAAUGCCGGAUAGUCUCUUCGGAGUAAAGAUUUAUCGCUUAAGGAGGAGCCUUCAUUCUAUCAGUUAGUUGGUGAGGUAAUGGCUUACCAAGACUAUGACAGAUAGCUGGUCUGAGAGGAUGAUCAGCCACAAUGGAACUGAGACACGGUCCAUACUCUUACGGGAGGCAGCAGUGAGGAAUCUUCCACAAUGGGCGAAAGCCUGAUGGAGCGACACCGCGUGAAGGAUGAAGGUCUAACGACUGUAAACUUCUUUUCUGAGGGAGCAUAAUGAGAGUACCUCAUGAAUAAGCACCGGCAAAACUCGUGCCAGCAGCCGCGGUAAUACGAGUGGUGCAAGCGUUACCCGGAAUUACUGGGUGUAAAGCGUUCGCAGGCGGAUGAAUAAGUCAGAUAUGAAAGACCGGAGCUCAACUCCGAGUAUGUAUUUGAAACUAUUUAUCUAGAAUUAGGGAGAGGUAAGCGGAAUUCUAAGUGUAGGGGUGCAAUCCGUAGGUACUUAGAAGAACACCAAAAGCGAAGGCAGCUUACUGGAACUAUAUUGACGCUAAGGGACGAAAGCGUGGGGGGCGAAAAGGAUUAGAUACCCUUGUAGUCCACGCCCUAAAUGAUGAUAAUUAAGUGUUGCAUUUUUUGCAGUGCUGUAGCUAACGCGUUAAAUUAUCCACCUGAGGACUACGGUCGCAAGAUUAAAACUCAAAGGAAUAGACGGGGACCCACACAAGCAGUGGAUCAUGUGGUUUAAUUCGACAAUAAACGGGGAAUCUUACCCAGACUUGACAUCCUGAGAAUCUUUUGGAAACAAGAGAGUGCUCGCAAGAGAGCUCAGUGACAGGUGCUGCAUGGUUGUCGUCAGCUCGUGCCUUGAGGUGUUCGGUUAAGUCCGUUAACGAGCGAAACCUAUGUCGUUAGUUACUAUGUCUAACGAGACUGCCCAUGUUAAUUGGGAGGAAGGUGUAGAUGGUGUCAAAUCAGCAUGGCUUUUACGUCUGGGGCCACACACAUGAUACAAUGGUACGUACAAUGAGAAGCAAUAUGGUAACAUGGAGCUAAUCUUAAAAGCGUAUCUCAGUCCGGAUUGAGGUCUGAAACUCGACCUCAUGAAGUUGGAAUUGCUAGUAAUCGUGAAUCAGAUAUGUCACGGUGAAUAUGUUUCUGGAUCUUGUACUCACCGCCCGUCACGGCAUGGAAGG
Molecule: ribosomal RNA, 1355 nt
Filed under: uncultured Candidatus Altimarinota bacterium
Lineage: Bacteria; Candidatus Altimarinota
Description: bacterial SSU rRNA
Rfam family: Bacterial small subunit ribosomal RNA
Source: RNAcentral